GGGGCUGUAGCUCAGUUGGGAGAGCGCUUGAAUGGCAUUCAAGAGGUCAGCGGUUCGAUUCCGCUCAGCUCCA
Molecule: transfer RNA, 73 nt
Filed under: Fidelibacterota bacterium
Lineage: Bacteria; Pseudomonadati; Fidelibacterota
Description: tRNA-Ala
Rfam family: tRNA
About the family: Transfer RNA (tRNA) molecules are approximately 80 nucleotides in length. Their secondary structure includes four short double-helical elements and three loops (D, anti-codon, and T loops).
Source: RNAcentral